Molecule: ribosomal RNA, 460 nt
Filed under: uncultured bacterium
Lineage: Bacteria
Description: partial 16S ribosomal RNA
Rfam family: Bacterial small subunit ribosomal RNA
Source: RNAcentral
CCUACGGGAGGCAGCAGUGAGGAAUAUUGGUCAAUGGUCGUAAGCCUGAACCAGCCAAGUAGCGUGAAGGAUGACUGCCCUAUGGGUUGUAAACUUCUUUUAUAAGGGAAUAAAGUGAGGCACGUGUGCCUUUUUGUAUGUACUUUAUGAAUAAGGAUCGGCUAACUCCGUGCCAGCAGCCGCGGUAAUACGGAGGAUCCGAGCGUUAUCCGGAUUUAUUGGGUUUAAAGGGAGCGUAGAUGGGUUGUUAAGUCAGUUGUGAAAGUUUGUGGCUCAACCGUAAAAUUGCAAUUGAUACUGGCAGCCGUGAGUACAGUUGAGGUAGGCGGAAUUCGUGGUGUAGCGGUGAAAUGCUUAGAUAUCACGAAGAACUCCGAUUGCGAAGGCAGCUUACUAAACUGCCACUGACAUUGAAGCUCGAAAGUGUGGGUAUCAAACAGGAUUAGAUACCCCAGUAGUC